Molecule: ribosomal RNA, 444 nt
Filed under: uncultured bacterium
Lineage: Bacteria
Description: partial 16S ribosomal RNA
Rfam family: Bacterial small subunit ribosomal RNA
Source: RNAcentral
CCUCGGGUGGCAGCAGUAGGGAAUUUUGCGCAAUGGGGGAAACCCUGACGCAGCAACGCCGCGUGAUCGAUGAAGCCCUUCGGAUUGUAAACCCCUGUCAUGUGGGAGCAAAUUAAAAAGAUAGUACCACAAGAGGAAGAGACGGCUAACUCUGUGCCAGCAGCCGCGGUAAUACAGAGGUCUCAAGCGUUGUUCGGAAUCACUGGGCGUAAAGCGUGCGUAGGCUGUUUCGUAAGUCGUGUGUGAAAGGCGCGGGCUCAACCCGCGGACGGCACAUGAUACUGCGAGACUAGAGUAAUGGAGGGGGAACCGGAAUUCUCGGUGUAGCAGUGAAAUGCGUAGAUAUCGAGAGGAACACUCGUGGCGAAGGCGGGUUCCUGGACAUUAACUGACGCUGAGGCACGAAGGCCAGGGGAGCGAAAGGGAUUAGAUACCCCAGUAGUC